This is a non-coding RNA of Chiloscyllium plagiosum (whitespotted bambooshark), 553 nucleotides long. The record is from RefSeq and is a predicted model, not a curated record. Lineage: Eukaryota; Metazoa; Chordata; Chondrichthyes; Orectolobiformes; Hemiscylliidae.
GCCAGUGUUAUACAGUGACAGACCUGUCCCCACCCUAGUACUGUACCCCAGUGUUAUACAGUGACAGAUCUGUCUCCAUAGUUUCGUGUCCAGCCUCUGCCCACUAUGGCCAGGUAUAUUAAUGUCUUUCUGUAUCUCUUCUACAGCCCAUGCCCAGAGCAAGGAAUGGGGGACGAGUUUAACUUGAUGGAUCACUCUGACCUGUACAUCCUAGAUUUCAGUCCAAGUCUGAAGACCUUAUGCAAACUAGCUGUGAUUCAGUACAGCUUGGAUCAAUCUGCUCUCCCUCACGACAUCCGGUAAGUUCAUUCCUGUUUGUUGCUGCUCUGCUCUCUGUCAGUGAGAUGCAAGGCUUUCAAAACCAUCAAUAUUAUCAGCCAGAUUCAGCCCACUUACCCUUUUCUGCCAAGUGCAGAAUCCUUACGUCGUUAACGAGUCACCAAAAUCUUCUUGCCUUUUUUAAAAAGAGUGCGAAAUAUGACCAGGUGAGUUUCUGGAGCAAAUACGUCUUCCUAGCUGAAAAUCUUCGAAACAAAACCCUAUGAGAAUCUGA